UUUUGAUGAUAAAAAAUGUGGAUGAGGUAAAGUCCGGGCUCCUUCGGAAAAAAUGCCGGAUAAUAACCGGGCACAAUUUGGCAGCUGUAAUGAAAUUACGCAAGUAAUUGUUUGCAUAGCCCAAUGCGUGACAGAUAGUGCAACAGAAAUAUUACCGCCUGGCAACAGGUAAGGGUGAAAAGGCAGUGUAAGAGACUACCGGUUGUCUGGUAACAGACAAUGCUUGUAAACCUCAUUUGGAGCAAGAUUAAGCAGCAGUUAUGUGUUUCCGAGCAAUACUGCGGGUAAAUCGCUGGAAUUAAAUGGUAACAUUUAAUGCGGAUAGAUGGUUAUUACUUUUAUAGUAGACAGAACCCGGCUUAUAGUCUCAUCU
This 373-nucleotide RNase P RNA is filed under the name uncultured Treponema sp. Its description in RNAcentral is "Bacterial RNase P class A". It matches the Rfam family "Bacterial RNase P class A". From Rfam's summary of the family: Ribonuclease P (RNase P) is a ubiquitous endoribonuclease, found in archaea, bacteria and eukarya as well as chloroplasts and mitochondria. Its best characterised activity is the generation of mature 5'-ends of tRNAs by cleaving the 5'-leader elements of precursor-tRNAs. Lineage: Bacteria; Pseudomonadati; Spirochaetota; Spirochaetia; Treponematales; Treponemataceae. The record is from RNAcentral.